Molecule: ribosomal RNA, 392 nt
Filed under: uncultured bacterium
Lineage: Bacteria
Description: partial 16S ribosomal RNA
Rfam family: Bacterial small subunit ribosomal RNA
Source: RNAcentral
AUACGGAGGAUCCGAGCGUUAUCCGGAUUUAUUGGGUUUAAAGGGUGCGCAGGCGGCCAUUUAAGUCAGCGGUUAAAUCGUGGGGCUCAACCCCAUUCUGCCGUUGAUACUGGGUGGCUUGAUUGCGGUCGAGGUUGGCGGAAUUCGUUGUGUAGCGGUGAAAUGCAUAGAUAUGACGAAGAACACCGAUUGUGUAGGCAGCUGACCAGACCGCAAAUGACGCUCAUGCACGAAAGUGCGGGGAUCGAACAGGAUUAGAUACCCUGGUAGUCCGCACAGUAAACGAUGAAUACUUGUUUUCGGCGAUAUAAUGUCGGAGGCAAAGCGAAAGCGAUAAGUAUUCCACCUGGGGAGUACGCCGGCAACGGUGAAACUCAAAGGAAUUGACGGGG